AUUAAAGAGCACCAAUUAUGCUAAUAAAUUAGCACGUUAGCACGUUAUUGUAAUAUCCCAUAGUACAUACAUGUUAUUAAAACUUGAACUAAUGCACUGUGAGUCUUAUAAAUUGCUUACAUACCUCACCGAUUUCUGCAUGUCUGGAAAACGCUCGGUUUAGUUCCUGUCUCCGCCUCCCAAAAUGUCUAGUGUAUUCGGAUUGGUCAGAUGACUACUCAACUGUUAUUGGUCAACUGGGUUCGGCGUGUGUUUGAAAGGUUACGCCCCUGACUACGCGUGGAUUUUCCGGUUCUGACUGAGAGUCACAGGCAACGUAAACAAGCGCUAUAUUUCUCUAUAAACGAUGGUGUCUGUACUGCCUUACCACUUCAAGCUCGAUCCAGAGAGUUCAGACGGCCGUUACGAUGUAAACGAUCUCCGUCAAUGAACGCGAUUGGAUUUAACUUUUUUAGGUGUCCUUAGCUCUGCCAGAAUGCUAAACGAAGACGAAAAUGUGUUGCAAAGACAUCCAAAAGGUUUUAAGGAGAAUGCAACAUGUUCCAGGGCCUCUUACCUGCGUGAUUCAUCAUCCAGGUUUUGCACAAAUUGUCUAAAUCCCUACACACAGAACAUUUAUUGUACCGACUAUAAGCCUUUGAGGUGCAGGACUAGAAUACGCUUGGAGCUUCCUGAUCAGAUCGGUCACAAUUUUGGCUUUCGACGACCCCUGCACUGAAGAUGGCAUGCAAUCACGUCCUCCUUUGAAGGUCUCUCAAACUGUGAUGCCAAGUCCACUGGAAUCGGGGUUUCCUUCAGC
Molecule: non-coding RNA, 799 nt
Organism: Paramisgurnus dabryanus
Lineage: Eukaryota; Metazoa; Chordata; Actinopteri; Cypriniformes; Cobitidae
Source: RefSeq, a predicted model, not a curated record